CUAAAAAAAACAUUUCCUCCUCCUUUUCACUCUCUCAACCACUCUCUCUCGCCACCUCCCACUUUCUCGAUCGAAACCCGACGACCACCGUACAUCGGUGGUUCUCCUCCUUCCCGACCACCAUCCACGGUGGUCCGAUGACCUUAACCGAACCUAAAACUCACCCACAAUCUUCACUUUAUUCUUAUGGACCCUGAUUUGGGAUCUAAAACACUAAACCGAGACUCUAAACGGCUCAAAAAUUUCCCCGACCCUUCAACUAAGCUCUUUCUGGUGACCCAGGACUAUGGUAGCUCUCAACUAGGCUCUAACGCUCACAUCGGUCCCUUAACACCACAUGUAAAACUCCUAAGGGUAUUCUCUUUUACCGAUUCCUUUUCCGAUGAUUAGUUCCGACGAUGAAACCCCAAACAGCUAUGAGACAAAGUCAAAGAGACCUUAUCGGCUCUCAUACAACUCAGACAGACAUGGCAGCAGCUGUGGAUGAGCUGGGAUCAGUGCAGGAACGUUAACCGCAUAUUCAGGGGUUGUUUUGCUCCUCUUUCCUUUUUUUUAAUGAUUUUUUGGUAAUAAUAAUAAUAAUAAAUAUUUUGGGAUAAAAAUGUUGAGUACACUGCUAAACCUUCAGUAUCAUAUACAACUACAAAAUCGUCUAAUCACUAGGAUCACUGAAUGUUAGUGUUAUAAAUUUUCCUUGAAUCCUUUUUUUUUCCCCACUUGGAAUAACAUGAAAAAUGCAGAAAAAUACCGUUCUAAGCAGUCAAUGGGCAAGAUAAUACUGAAA
Hibiscus syriacus is the source of this 784-nucleotide long non-coding RNA. RefSeq lists it as uncharacterized. The record is from RefSeq and is a predicted model, not a curated record. The transcript has 2 exons. Lineage: Eukaryota; Viridiplantae; Streptophyta; Magnoliopsida; Malvales; Malvaceae.